Molecule: small nuclear RNA, 130 nt
Organism: Tripterygium wilfordii
Lineage: Eukaryota; Viridiplantae; Streptophyta; Magnoliopsida; Celastrales; Celastraceae
Source: RefSeq, a predicted model, not a curated record
GUGUUCAUAGAAAGGAGAGAUGGUUGGCAUCUCCCCUGACAGGGACGGGAAUGAGCUUUGGCUCUUCUUGUUAGUGCACAUGUGUACCUUUAAGGCCAUCUGCUUCGGCGGAUCUCCUACAAAUUUUUCU